UUUAGGUUUUUCAAGUGCACUACGGGGCACCCACUCCAAUCCUGGAUAUUUUUUUUUUUUUUUUUUUCCCUCAAAAUAGAAGCAUACAUAUACGUGAGUUACAUUCAGUUAUUGUAUGAGUUAUACUGUUUUAUCAAUGUUUGUCUUCUCUUCUUUGGAACACAAGUAACCAGGUGAGUCUGUAAAUAUCUGGUGUAAAUGUAAAAGAUGCUCAGUAUGAUUUAUUCUCUUCAAAAUGGAAAAUAAGCAAUAUUACCUGAAGAAGUGAAGAAUGGGAUGAAAUGUGAAUUAUUCUUAACCAAAAAGCAAGUAAGUGUGUACUUCUCUGUUUCCUUUUUUAUUUGUGAAUCUUGUGUUAUUGUAAAUGAUUUGUAAUGCUCUGUUCCUAGGCUGCGUGUAUGAUUGAUAAGUAUACAGAUGUCAGCCUAGUAAGAUUAUCACAUUAAAAAAGAUAAUCAGAGAUAAAUGGAAAGCACUCACUGGCAUUGCAAGCUCACAAGAAAAUCUAUGAGGAAAGGUCUCCAGAGAGGGCUCCUUCCUCAGUGGAAGUCAGCCCUUAAAUGGAGUCUAGGAGAGGUGGAGCCAGGCUCCACCCCUUUCGAUCACGCAGAUGAAUUGCCUUCACUUGUGCUCCUGUGACUGACUCAUUGCUUGCCUCAGGUGGUCAAUCAGAGGUUCAGGCUAUGAUCCAACAGUUCCUCUACACUGUGUAUGAUUUUAUUUUGUGGAGCUAUAUAGAUAAGGGUUAAAGCUAAAUGCAGUUAGAAUUUAUAAAUCAAUUCUAAAUUUUUUUAACAUAUGGAUUGAUUAAUAAUUUUAUAGUAUUCCCAUUAAUCAUUAAGAAAAUACUAAACAAUACUCAUUUUCAUUUAAUUAUGUGAAAAGCCUGGUGGUGUUCAGUAUUGUAUCAUUCAGAUUUGAAACUUUGUAGAUAUGUAGGGAAAAAAAGUGGCAUAUAGUUAUCUUUUUAAGAAAGUGUAGUUUUUUAGCAUUAGAACUGUACAUUCUUUCUUUUUCCUUAUGUUUCACUGGAAGGUAAACUCAGAACCUACCUGUGAGGAGUGAGUCAUGUAGAAGUAACAUGCUAGUUCUCCUAGCGAGAACAGUCAUGGGUUUUAUCUUGCAUAACGCUAAUAAAUGUUAUCUUGAACUGCCAUAAACUGAAAGACUGAUUCCUGUAUGCAAGAGGCAGCAGAGCAAAGGAGACGCUUAAUCUAUGGAUUGCCAUUAUCUUAAGCUUACCAUAUAUCUGUCUCGUGGAUGUAUACCUGUGGCAACUGUAAUCAGAAGAGAGAUUAUUGUCUAUGUAUUCAUAGGGGGAGAAACUUUAAACUUGAAAUAUAUCUUUAGAAAGUAUUUUGGCUUUCUACAACAAAUUUCUGUCAGUGUACGUGUAGGUUGAAUGAAGAAGACCAUGGGUUUUCACUCCUGCCGUGGAUAAAAAUGGGAUUUGCUAGCAUUAAUAAUAUGCUAAUAUAAGGCACUUAGCUAGUCAUCCUUUAAAUAGGCACAUAAUGUACAGUAGCUUUUCAUGUCUACCACUGGAUUGCUAUGGUAUUGGAAGAAAGUGUAUGAUGAUGACUGUGAAUUGCCACAUUUUGGGAUUUACUAGGUGGGAAAUUGAAGUUAGUUCUAAAAAUUAGCGUAUCAGUUCUAUCGUUUGGACACAGCAGGUAAAAGCUAGGAAGAAGAGAGGAAAUUGAUUUGUUACUUGAGAUACUUGUGGUAGCAUUUUAAUCUUUGACUAAGCUAUUUUCAAUAAACUCUGCUGGAUGUAACUUAAUUUGAAUCAGACCUGUAAGAUUAGAUGAUCUGUAAGACAUAAAUAUCUUCAACUCCAGCUGAAGUCAGUGGUACUCUGUAGGGUCUGUGUUUGAUAUUUAACUUUUUCAAUUGGAUACUCCUGUGUAGUGGAAAUGCUGAGUCAUGACCUGAAGCAGUGAUUGAGCACCUGGUGGGAAGGCAGGGCCAACCCAGGGGAGCUCAGGUGCAUGCAAUGUUUCUGAGUGACUGGAAGGAGUAGAGCCAGGAUCCACCCCUUUCAGACCUCAUUUCAAGGUUGGCCAUGGAGGUUGGCCAUCUUGUUGGAGAUUCCUGUUUGCUUGAGGCUCUCUGAAGUAUUUCCUCAUGAUCGCUGUUAUGAAACGAGUGAAGGCCUGCAGAAAUAACUGUUAUCUGAGGACACGAAGCUUGACUGAAAGGAAGAACCUGCAUUAACUCUGAAGCUAUUGUCUCUUUUGCUCUCUGUUUUGUUGGAAGGUAUCUUCUCUGUUUGACUGAGAAGGCAAGAUUCUCAACGCCUAACUGCAGCUGUUAAGAACUUGAUUAGUCUUGCUUACCAUCACUGAGUAAGAAGGGCUUCUGUCUUCCAGUAUUCAACAAACCUGCUGAGUGAUUAUGCUACACUAGCUAGCUUGGACUUGGCAUAAAAAAUCUAUCAGAUGCUUCUGUUCAUUUAUUGCUUGUUUACUAUAUUUUGUUUUCUGUGGCUUGUGCCAUUUUUGAGAUCUUACAUUUUUAUGUAAAUCAACUUUACGUUAUUUGGAGAUGGUUUUUCGGUUGAAAAAAAAACAACCCCAAGACCCUUA
Lagopus muta (rock ptarmigan) is the source of this 2588-nucleotide long non-coding RNA. RefSeq lists it as uncharacterized. The transcript has 2 exons. The record is from RefSeq and is a predicted model, not a curated record. NCBI's taxonomy places the organism in Eukaryota, Metazoa, Chordata, Aves, Galliformes, Phasianidae.